Molecule: ribosomal RNA, 301 nt
Filed under: uncultured bacterium
Lineage: Bacteria
Description: partial 16S ribosomal RNA
Rfam family: Bacterial small subunit ribosomal RNA
Source: RNAcentral
CAGCCGCCGCGGUAAUACGAGGGGGGCAAGCGUUGUUCGGAAUUAUUGGGCGUAAAGGGUGCGUAGGCGGUUUGAUAAGUCAUCUGUGAAAUCUCUGGGCUCAACCCAGAGUCUGCAGGCGAAACUGUCGGGCUUGAGUAUGGGAGAGGUGAGUGGAAUUUCCGGUGUAGCGGUGAAAUGCGUAGAUAUCGGAAGGAACACCUGUGGCGAAAGCGGCUCACUGGACCAUAACUGACGCUGAUGCACGAAAGCUAGGGGAGCAAACAGGAUUAGAUACCCCCGUAGUCCCUGUCUCUUAUAC